This 301-nucleotide ribosomal RNA is filed under the name uncultured bacterium. RNAcentral describes it as "partial 16S ribosomal RNA". It matches the Rfam family "Bacterial small subunit ribosomal RNA", at positions 509 to 809 of the family's 1533-position model. The record is from RNAcentral.
CAGCCGCCGCGGUAAUACGGAGGGUGCAAGCGUUAAUCGGAAUUACUGGGCGUAAAGCGCACGCAGGCGGUCUGACAAGUCAGAUGUGAAAUCCCCGGGCUUAACCUGGGAACUGCAUUUGAAACUGUCAGGCUGGAGUCUUGUAGAGGGGGGUAGAAUUCCAGGUGUAGCGGUGAAAUGCGUAGAGAUCUGGAGGAAUACCGGUGGCGAAGGCGGCCCCCUGGACAAAGACUGACGCUCAGGUGCGAAAGCGUGGGGAGCAAACAGGAUUAGAUACCCCUGUAGUCCCUGUCUCUUAUAA